UACGUAGGGGGCGAGCGUUGUCCGGAUUUAUUGGGCGUAAAGAGCUCGUAGGCGGUUCGAUAAGUCGGAUGUGAAAUCUCCACGCUCAACGUGGAGGGGCCAUUCGGUACUGUCGUGACUCGAGUCCGGUAGGGGAGUGUGGAAUUCCCGGUGUAGCGGUGAAAUGCGCAGAGAUCGGGAGGAACACCCGUAGCGAAGGCGGCACUCUGGGCCGGUACUGACGCUGAGGAGCGAAAGCGUGGGGA
RNAcentral lists this ribosomal RNA (245 nucleotides) under uncultured bacterium. Its description in RNAcentral is "partial 16S ribosomal RNA". It matches the Rfam family "Bacterial small subunit ribosomal RNA", at positions 524 to 767 of the family's 1533-position model. The record is from RNAcentral.